Non-coding RNA from Ornithorhynchus anatinus (platypus), 140 nucleotides. NCBI's taxonomy places the organism in Eukaryota, Metazoa, Chordata, Mammalia, Monotremata, Ornithorhynchidae. The record is from RefSeq and is marked provisional.
CCUCCGAAAUCAGAGAAACUGCUCGAUGAUGAUCUUCCUAAAUGAUGACUUUAGCAAAAGUCAAAAAUGACUGCGUUAUUUCACCGGUUCUGAGAGCAGCUCGGGAGGAGGGUGUCUGUGGGUGGUUAGCUGGCUUCUGG